Molecule: RNA transcript, 4147 nt
Organism: Tympanuchus pallidicinctus (lesser prairie-chicken)
Lineage: Eukaryota; Metazoa; Chordata; Aves; Galliformes; Phasianidae
Gene: PRMT2IP
Gene name: chromosome unknown C15orf39 homolog
Exons: 4
Source: RefSeq, a predicted model, not a curated record
CCUCCUCCUCCCACUUCCUCCGCACAAUGCGAGCAGCAGAGCGGGGCAGCAGCACCGUGCCGGCCCCCCCCGGCCGCCCCCUCCCCGGCUCGGCCCCGUAAGAUGCUCCGGAGGAGGCGGCUCCGCCAGGAAGGCCAGCUGACCUCUCCCAUCGCACACCUCGGUGGAGUAUAAAUGGCCUCAAAACGUCAUUCAGAGCCUCUGGAUGCCAUCCUUUUUCACAAGCUACCUCGGCUGGAGGCCGAACCCGACCCGGGCAUCCCCUCCAUUCCCUGCAAACCCAACCCCGUCCCCACAGCCGGCCCCCAAACCCACCUCGGCUACAAGGGCUCCUACUUCUCCUGCCCACAGGCAGAAGGACAACUCCUACACUGCCUGCUCCGUCAGCCCCACAGCCCCACGGGCAGACCGGGUGCUGAGCAGGGCAAAAAUCACCCCAUGUGGGACCCCCUGGUGGCACAGGACAAGUGGCCCAGCCAGCAGGGCCACCCCUUCCCCCUGAAGAAGCCACCAGCCGUCCCCAAGCCCGUGUAUGCAGCCCCACUUUGCUUCUCACCGCUGAGCUCCCAGGGGGGUGAUGCCCUGCAAAGGGGGCCGGGGGCCGUGUCUGCUGUGCCCCCACCCUCCCCUGUCACCCUCUCCCACUAUUACACUGCCUUUGAGAAGUACCGUGGUCCCCCAGCUGUGCAUGACCAGGGGAAGCCACUCGAAAUUCCCACCUGCAUCCCAGACCCCUGGAUGAAGGCACACCGGGAGCAUCCCUCUGCUUGCUACCCACAGCCCCCCUACCCGCAGCCUCCGGGCUCCUUUUCUUACAAAGCUUUCGGCUUCAUGGUGAAUGGGAAAUCUCCCCUUUUUCCCAGCACUUACCUUAAGCCCCCAACCCCCCAGAGCCACUAUCCCAGCCCCUUGGAUUGCUUUGCGUCGAGGCCGGCCGCUCCGGGCACGCUGCCCUCUCUGAAAGCAAUGGGACCACCAAGGGAUCUUGAGCCUCCACCCCUGCCUCCAGCUGGGUACCUGCAUCCAAAUCCUGGAUUCGCCUUCAGCCCCAUGGAUGCUGUGUUGUUUACGGAGGAUCACAGCGAUGGGCGAAAGGCACCGCUGGAAGCCCAUGGAGGGAGGGUGGUGACGAGGCACAGCAGCGCCUUCCACCCCAUCCACACCCCACAGAAGACACCUGAUGGGCUGUUGGGGCCGUUUCCCAAAGGAGAGGCUGGCUACAGUCUGGAUAAGGCUUUGACGGCCAACCUCGUCCCCUGCCAGCAGCAGGUGGUCAAAGCCGGGGUCGGGGAUGCCACCAAGGAGCACUUCAUCCCUUGUAGGGCCAUCUGUCCCCAGGAGAGGCUGAGGGACCUACAGAGUGGUGAUGUGUCCCCCCCUUCCCCACCGAUGCCGGUGAUCAACAAGGUCUUCAGCCUGGCGCCUUACCGGGAGUACCUGGAGGGGACCGAAGGCUCCACUGAUGUCCCCAAGGAGCAUCCACAAGGGGACGCAGCCACACCACAAAACUCAAGCAGCGGUCAGGAGCCUGCUGGCGUCAAGGCGACAUCCAGCUCGCUGCGUGGUGAAGGGGAGAGUUGUCACCAAAAGAUCCCCGAAGUGUCCCCAGAGCCAGCAGCAGGAAGUCACCCAGGGCUUCAGCACAGCGGUGGGGAACCAAUCCCUGCUGAUGUGGCACUGGACUUGAGCUUGAAGAAGAGCUCGGUGACAACGGGGAGCACCGGCACAGAGGGGAUGUUGGACCCAGGGGAGAAAGAGGGGCCACUGGGGCAGGUGGAGGUGGCUGAGGACACCAAGGUGCCACUGCAGCUGGCGGAGGCGGGUGGGGACACCAAAGCCCAGGUGCCACCCAACCGAGUGGAGGUGGGUGAGGACACCAAAGCCCAGGUGCCAGCGCAGCUGGUGGAGGUCAGCUCUAAGGACAGGAGCCACUUCCAGAGCUCAGCUGCCUUCAUGUUCAAGAAAUACAAGAUCCUCAAGUCCUGGGGACCCCCCGGUGCCCCCCAGCCCAGCUCUCCGCCGCACGCGUGGCAGGGGUCCCCCAGCACCUCUGUCCCACAGGAGCCUUGCCACAACACGAAGCCUGUGGACACGUCACCAGCCCUGCCCCAACCCCCCUUGCCCGCCAGCCCCUGCCACAUCCCAGCCCAGCCAUGCGUAGUCAACCAGGGUUUCUCUGCCUUGCACAUGUCCCUGUGCAGCAUCAUCUCAUGCUCGGUGUCCGCGUCCUCCCCGGAGCUGCUGCGGGACUGGCUGAGGAGGACAGAGCCGGGAGACACCCUGGCAGAGACACCCAGAUCCCUUCCUAAAACCAAAAACGGCUCCAAACUCCCUGAGCCUCAGAAGCCCCCGAAAGGCAAGGAGAUCUGGCUGGCAUUCCGCAAUGCAGCCGCUCUCCUCAGCAAGCUCCUGGCUCAGCUGGAGGCUUUCGCCUUCACCCGCAAGUGUCCCUUUCCCUACGUGCUGCGGGCAGGUGCCAUCUUCAUCCCCAUCCACGUGGUGAAGGAGAAGCUCUUCCCCGAGCUCCCCGGGGCCUCUGUGGACCAGGUGCUGCAGAAGCACAAAGUGGAGCUGCGGCCCACCACGCUCUCUGAAGAGAAGCUUCUGAGGGAGCUGGAGCUCAAGGGCUGCACUUCACGCAUGCUGAAGCUCCUGGCUCUCAAACAGCUCCCUGAGAUCUACCCAGAUCUGCUGAACCUCCUGUGGCACCACUCCAUUCAGCAGCAGCUCGGUAGGUAGCAGGGUGAUCCCCAUCCCUUCCCCAUGGGGCUUGGAGAAGGAUAUCCCACUAAAACCCAAGGAUGCCCUACUGCAACCCGAGAGGUCCCCUUUAAAACCCAAGGAUUCCCCUUUAAAACCCAAGGAUUCCCCUUUAAAACCCAAGGAUUCCCUGUUAAAACCCAAGGAUUCCCUACUAAAACCCAAGGAUUUCCCAUUAAAACCCAAGGAUGCCCUACUGCAACCCAAGAGGUCCCCUUUAAAACCCAAGGAUUCCCCUUUAAAACCCAAGGAUUCCCUGUUAAAACCCAAGGAUUCCCUGUUAAAACCCAAGGAUUUCCAUUAAAACCCAAGGAUUCCCUACUAAAACCUAAGGAUUUCCCACUAAAACCCAAGGAUGCCCUACUGCAACCCGAGAGGUCUCCUUUAAAACCCAAGGAUUCCCUACUAAAACCCAAGGAUUUCCCAUUAAAACCCAAGGAUUCCCUACUAAAACCCAAGGAUUUCUCAUUAAAACCCAAGGAUUCCCUACUAAAACCCAAGGAUGUCCUACUGCAACCCGAGUUCCCCAUUAAAACCCAAGGAUUCCCUGUUAAAACCCAAGGAUUCCCUGUUAAAACCCAAGGAUUUCCAUUAAAACCCAAGGUUUCCCUACUAAAACCCAAGGAUUUCCCAUUAAAACCCAAGGAUUCCCUACUAAAACCCAAGGAUUUCUCAUUAAAACCCAAGGAUUCCCUACUAAAACCCAAGGAUUUCUCAUUAAAACCCAAGGUUUCCCUACUAAAACCCAAGGAUUUCCCAUUAAAACCCGAGGUUUCUUCACCAAAACCCAAGUAUUUCUCUUUAAAACCCAAGGGUUCCCCACUAAAACCCAAGGGUUCCCCAGUUAAAACCACAAACACCCUCACUAAAACCUAAGGAUGCCCCCACCAAAAAUCAAGGAUUCCUUACUACAAGGAUUCCGCCAUCAAAACCUCAGGGAUUCCUUACUAAACCCCCAAAGAUGCCCCUACUGAUACCCAAGGACCCACCACCAAAAGCCAAAGAUGUCCCCAGCGAAACCUCAAGGAUUCCACUCCUAAAUCCCAAGGAUGCUCCUGCUAAACCCAAGGAUGCCCCAGCAAAAUCAUCCUGCUUGAGGACUCGGGUGUGACAAAGUUCCCUUCCCCAUUGCUCCCCAUUCACUUUCCAAGUGCUCGACCACCAUGUUUCCCCAAACUGGCCUCCAUGUGGCACAGACCCUAUAAAACACAGCCCCAAAUCCUCUCCUGAGAAACCCCAACGCUUCUCCCACCAAAACCCAGCUCCUUCCUGCAGGCAGGCUCUCCGCAGUGGGACGGUCCCACCCUGCCCUCGUGUCCCAGUUGCCUCAACUGGAGGCAUCACCACCGACUUUGUGUCUUGCAGGGUCGAGGUCGGAGGUCGGCCA